UACGGAGGGGGCUAGCGUUAUUCGGAAUUACUGGGCGUAAAGCGCACGUAGGCUGAUUGUUAAGUCAGGGGUGAAAUCCCAGAGCUCAACUCUGGAACUGCCCUUGAUACUGGCAAUCUCGAGUCCGGAAGAGGUUAGUGGAAUUCCUAGUGUAGAGGUGAAAUUCGUAGAUAUUAGGAAGAACACCAGUGGCGAAGGCGGCUAACUGGUCCGGUACUGACGCUGAGGUGCGAAAGCGUGGGGAGCAAACAGG
RNAcentral lists this ribosomal RNA (253 nucleotides) under uncultured bacterium. RNAcentral describes it as "partial 16S ribosomal RNA". It matches the Rfam family "Bacterial small subunit ribosomal RNA", at positions 524 to 776 of the family's 1533-position model. The record is from RNAcentral.